GUAGUGACGAAAAAUAACGAUGCAGAACUCAUUCCGAGGCUCUGCAAUUGGAAUGAGUACACUCUAAAUCAUUUAACGAGUAUCCAUUGGAGGACAAGUCUGGUGCCAGCACCCGCGGUAAUUCCAGCUCCAAUAGCGUAUAUUAAAGUUGUUGCGGUUAAAAAGCUCGUAGUUGGAUCUGUGUUCCACGCUGUCGGUUCACCGUCUUGUCGGUGUUUAACUGACAUGUCGUGAAACGUCCUGCCGGUUGGCGGCGUGUUUGCCCCAAAAGGGUGGAUGCGUCUGCCAGUCCCAAUCCUGUCGCGGUGCUCUUCACUGAGUGUCGAGGCGGGCCGGUACUUUUACCUUGAACAAAUUUGAGUGCUUAAAGCAGGCUACAACCGCCAGAAAACUGUGUGCAUGGAAUAAUAUAAUAGGACCGCGGUUCUAUUUUGUUGGUUUUCAGAGUCCGAGGUAAUGAUUAAUAGGGACAGGCGGGGGCAUUAGUAUUGCGACGUUAGAGGUGAAAUUCUUGGAUCGUCGCAAGACUAACCUAAGCGAAAGCAUUUGCCAAGGAUGCUUCCAUUAAUCAAGAACGAAAGUUAGAGGUUCGAAGGCGAUCAGAUACCGCCCUAGUUCUAACCAUAAACGAUGCCAGCCAGCGAUCCGUCGACGUUCCUCCGAUGACUCGACGGGCAGCUUCCGGGAAACUAAAGCAUUUGGGUUCCGGGGGAAGUAUGGUUGCAAAGCUGAAACUUAAAGGAAUUGACGGAAAGGCACCACCAGGAGUGGAGCCUGCGGCUUAAUUUGACUCAACACGGGAAAUCUCACCAGGCCAGAACACCAGGUGGAUUGACAGAUUGAGAGCUCUUUCUUGAUUUGGUGGGUGGUGGUGCAUGGCCU
RNAcentral lists this ribosomal RNA (882 nucleotides) under Aaroniella badonneli. Its description in RNAcentral is "SSU rRNA". It matches the Rfam family "Eukaryotic small subunit ribosomal RNA", at positions 464 to 1290 of the family's 1831-position model. The record is from RNAcentral. Lineage: Eukaryota; Metazoa; Arthropoda; Insecta; Psocodea; Philotarsidae.